This 282-nucleotide unclassified non-coding RNA is filed under the name Hevea brasiliensis (rubber tree). The record is from RNAcentral. Lineage: Eukaryota; Viridiplantae; Streptophyta; Magnoliopsida; Malpighiales; Euphorbiaceae.
GGGGAUUAAUUUAUUUAGAUGGAAAAUGGAGAAUGAUAGGGACGAUAUGUAUAUGUUAUAUAGUACAUAGUUAAGGGGAAAAGAGAAAUUAGUAGGGCAACCAUAUAGUCUGUUUGUUUUUGAGGUUUCUUUUGAAUGAUCUUAUGUUUUGAUCAAAAUCAUAGAAACCCUUGAAAGGCAUGUUGGUGGUGGGCUUUUACUUGUUUAUCUGCAAGUUUGGCCAAUAUAAUUUCCCUAAAAGGGGGAAGCUACUGGGUUCCUAAGUCCUAACCUAUCUAAUCC